UGUCUCAACUUCGAGUAUUGCCAGUUC
RNAcentral lists this non-coding RNA (27 nucleotides) under Mus musculus (house mouse). The record is from RNAcentral. Lineage: Eukaryota; Metazoa; Chordata; Mammalia; Rodentia; Muridae.